UACGUAGGGUGCAAGCGUUGUCCGGAAUUAUUGGGCGUAAAGAGCUCGUAGGUGGCCUGUCGCGUCGGCUGUGAAAACUCGGGGCUCAACUCCGAGCUUGCAGUCGAUACGGGCAGGCUAGAGUUCGGCAGGGGAGACUGGAAUUCCUGGUGUAGCGGUGAAAUGCGCAGAUAUCAGGAGGAACACCGGUGGCGAAGGCGGUGGCCUGGGCCGGAACUGACGCUGAGGAGCGAAAGCGUGGGGAGCAAACAGG
Molecule: ribosomal RNA, 253 nt
Filed under: uncultured bacterium
Lineage: Bacteria
Description: partial 16S ribosomal RNA
Rfam family: Bacterial small subunit ribosomal RNA
Source: RNAcentral